CUGUAGAUCGUCUUCUGAGUCUCUCUAGAUCACUGGGAAAUUGAGCUUGAGUUCGGCUGGUCGGAUAGAGACGAAUCUCGGAUCAAGGCGAGGUCGACGUUUUCAAGGAAAACGAUCCCGAAGCUGACUGGCUGGCUGUCUGCUCCUCGAGGAUUUUCAACUUGGAGUGCUCCUCGAGGAGUUUUAUAGAGUUGGGUCUCAUGACUGGCUGCACUUGCUUGAGGUAAACGUUUAUAUCUCUCAGCAUAUAUCUUCGAUUAAGGCGAGGUCAACUUCUCCGAAAAGACGACUCUUUGGGCGAUCCGUAGAUGUAUUAACCCUUACGAGAUUCCCUGUGAUUUGCCGGGAAAUCGGCCCCGAGGCGAACUGGUCUAUUCGG
Molecule: long non-coding RNA, 379 nt
Organism: Arabidopsis thaliana (thale cress)
Lineage: Eukaryota; Viridiplantae; Streptophyta; Magnoliopsida; Brassicales; Brassicaceae
Product: other RNA
Exons: 2
Source: RefSeq